RNAcentral lists this long non-coding RNA (311 nucleotides) under Musa acuminata (dwarf banana). Its description in RNAcentral is "long non-coding RNA (MACU_LNC002692)". Lineage: Eukaryota; Viridiplantae; Streptophyta; Magnoliopsida; Zingiberales; Musaceae. The record is from RNAcentral.
CCCUAUAGAGUUCCAAGGAGGCUGAUCCCCUAAAGAGAUCAACCCCAAGUUUAGAAUCUGCAAGGGUUCUAACACCUAGUAUCAGAGCAGCGUUCUUGGCAUCUCGCUACCCUUCCACUGCCAUCCAUCAGCCCUCCACAACCGCCCAAAGCAAUUCCCACAAUUGCUUAAAAGAUCGUCGCCGAAUUCCGUCAUCAUCUCCACCACCGCGGAUCAUCCUUUGAUCUCCCCAUGAAUUGCAACAGGUUCUAGUUUCCUACCUUACUGCUGCUGCAAUUUAGUUAUCCUUAUUCGAAAAUCCAAAAAAAAAA